GCAUCGGUGGUUCAGUGGUAGAACGCUCGCCUGCCACCGCGGGCGGCCCGGGUUCGAUUCCCGGCCGAUGCA
This 72-nucleotide transfer RNA is filed under the name Caerostris extrusa. RNAcentral describes it as "tRNA-Gly". It matches the Rfam family "tRNA". Rfam says of the family: Transfer RNA (tRNA) molecules are approximately 80 nucleotides in length. Their secondary structure includes four short double-helical elements and three loops (D, anti-codon, and T loops). Further hydrogen bonds mediate the characteristic L-shaped molecular structure. tRNAs have two regions of fundamental functional importance: the anti-codon, which is responsible for specific mRNA codon recognition, and the 3' end, to which the tRNAs corresponding amino acid is attached (by aminoacyl-tRNA synthetases). tRNAs cope with the degeneracy of the genetic code in two manners: having more than one tRNA (with a specific anti-codon) for a particular amino acid; and 'wobble' base-pairing, i.e. permitting non-standard base-pairing at the 3rd anti-codon position. Lineage: Eukaryota; Metazoa; Arthropoda; Arachnida; Araneae; Araneidae. The record is from RNAcentral.